Molecule: ribosomal RNA, 253 nt
Filed under: uncultured bacterium
Lineage: Bacteria
Description: partial 16S ribosomal RNA
Rfam family: Bacterial small subunit ribosomal RNA
Source: RNAcentral
UACAGAGGUCUCAAGCGUUGUUCGGAUUCAUUGGGCGUAAAGGGUGCGUAGGCGGCGCGGUAAGUCGGGUGUGAAAUCUUGGAGCUUAACUCCGAAACUGCAUUCGAUACUGCCGUGCUUGAGGACUGGAGAGGAGACUGGAAUUUACGGUGUAGCGGUGAAAUGCGUAGAUAUCGUGAGGAAGACCAGUGGCGAAGGCGGGUCUCUGGACAGUUCCUGACGCUGAGGCACGAAGGCCAGGGGAGCAAACGGG